UUCAUCAAUGUGAUAAGUUGGAUAGCCUCCCAAGUGAACUAUGGUCUUUGACUACCUUAACAAAUGUACGUGUUCGGAGACCUUCCAAUGCUAUGGCUGCAAUCCUACAGAAUUUGGAAGUUGAGAAUGGAUGUGAGGUCAUUGUAGAAUAAUUAGAAUUAGUGCUGGUUUGCUUUGAAUUUAUAAGUCGUUAGCAAAAAAAAUCUCAACCUUUCAUAUAUUUUAAACACCUUAUUAAUUAUUUUCAUCUCUUUUUCUUCUUCGUAUUCGUCUUUCUUUUCUAGUUAAUAUAAAUAUUGAAAUUUAGUAACAUUUCAACAAGUAAUAGAUAAGGGCUAUGUUACUAAAAGACUUUAGAAACUCUUUUGUAUUAUGUUGUUAACAUAUAAUGAUAUAAACAUUACUGAUUCAUAUUUUUUUAACACUUGAUAUUAUCAUUAGUUAAAUUAAAUAAAUAAUACAACACUAACCUCAGUGCAGUGAAGACUGAAGAGUUAUAUACUUCACUUCAAGUUAGUUUUUCUUUUUUCUCUUUGUGUUUUAGUGAUCUUCAAAAUCUGCUAUGCUUCUUAUUGUCACAACAUUGAAUUUGUUGCCUCAUCCGGAUCAUCUCCACGACGCGCCACCUUACUUCCACUUUCCAAUUGUUCAAUGCCUUCCAUAAAUCCUCUACAAAUCCAAUUGAGCAGUGAAUUGAAGUGGCGAAACCUCCAAAAUUGCUAAGAGAAAAACACGCAACGCGCAAACACUCGAAAUUAGGUUUUAAGCAAACAAAUUCAGUACACAUAAAAACUGAAAACGAGAAAUUUCAAUGACAAAAUAAGAGAAAAAUCAGAUAUAAUAGUUUGAGGUGAAGAUGAGGAAACUAACCUAACAGUAGAAGACGGAAAUGCAGGUAAGAUCCGAUUCCAAAAUGAAUAUCGUGUAUUUUUUUUUCUCUUGAAAGAAGAAUGAAGAACAAAGAAGCACCGUACAGU
RNAcentral lists this long non-coding RNA (977 nucleotides) under Lathyrus oleraceus (garden pea). RNAcentral's name for it is "Pisum sativum (pea) long non-coding RNA (PSAT_LNC030728)". The record is from RNAcentral. Lineage: Eukaryota; Viridiplantae; Streptophyta; Magnoliopsida; Fabales; Fabaceae.